CCAAUCUGUAUUUCUCUUCUCUCUCUCUCCCUAGUUGUUUAGCAGCCUCCCUGUUAUACCAAUCCCAAUUUGUCCAGUGUCAAGUUCAGAAAAACAAAGAUUCACCCAGAUAUUGGGAGAAAUUACACAAGUUUCUCCCGAGCUCUUUCCCCUUAGAAAGAUGCAAUCUUUCUAUAUUGCAACCUGAAAUCAUCCAUCUCACCACAUGGGGAAGGUUGAGGGAACAGUGAAAAGGAUAAGAUUAAUUGUAUAGUCAUCCGACGCAGGCACGUAAUAGUAUGGUUUGAAGAUAGGACAGAGAGAGUUGAUAGAAAAAAAAAAGUUAGCUUCUUGAAAACAAUUUUGGGAGAUGUCAAGUGGGGGUUGUAGUAUUGUAUGGUUCAGAAGGGAUCUGAGAGUAGAAGAUAAUCCAGCCUUAGCAGCUGGAGUUAGAGCUGGAGCAGUUGUUGCUGUGUUUAUUUGGUCACCUGAGGAAGAGGGUCAGUACUAUCCCGGAAGGGUCUCAAGGUGGUGGCUCAAGCAGAGUUUAGGCCAUCUUGAUUCUUCUUUGAGGAGCCUUGGCACUGCACUUAUCACAAAGAGAUCUAGCAAUACUAUUUCUACAUUACUUGAAGUUAUCAAGUCUACUGGAGCUACUCAGCUCUUCUUCAACCAUUUAUAUGACCCCUUGUCGCUUGUCCGGGAUCACCGUGCAAAGGAAGUUCUAACAGCUCAAGGUGUAGCUGUACGCUCCUUUAAUGCUGACCUGUUUUAUGAACCUUGGGAAAUCCACGAUGAGGAAGGUCGUCCAUUCAGAACUUUUGCAUCUUUCUGGGAGAGAUGCCUCAGCAUGCCUUACGACCCCGACUCUCCACUGCUUCCGCCCAAAAGAAUUAUCUCUGGAGACGUCACUGGAUGCCCUUCGGACAUUUUAGUCUUUGAAGAUGAGUCAGAAAAAGGAAGUAAUGCACUUCUCGCUCGAGCAUGGUCGCCUGGGUGGAGUAAUGCUGACAAGGCACUAACUACCUUCAUUAAUGGGGCACUAAUUGAGUACUCAAAGAACCGCCGAAAGGCCGAUAGCGCCACAACCUCGUUUCUUUCUCCCCAUUUACAUUUUGGGGAAGUCAGUGUAAGAAAGGUUUUCCAUCUUGUUCGCAUCAAGCAAGUUCUAUGGGCCAAUGAGGGAAAUAAAGCUGGUGAAGAGAGUGUCAACCUAUUCCUCAAGUCUAUUGGUCUCAGAGAAUAUUCAAGAUACAUGAGCUUCAAUCAUCCUUACAGCCAUGAAAGGCCCCUGCUUGGCCACCUAAAGUAUUUCCCUUGGGUAGUGGAUGAGGGAUACUUUAAGGCAUGGAGGCAAGGAAGAACUGGUUAUCCUUUGGUAGAUGCUGGUAUGAGAGAGCUUUGGGCAACUGGUUGGCUACAUGAUCGAAUACGAGUUGUUGUCUCUAGUUUCUUUGUUAAGGUUCUGCAACUCCCCUGGAGGUGGGGUAUGAAGUAUUUCUGGGACACACUACUGGAUGCAGAUCUCGAGAGUGAUGCUCUUGGUUGGCAAUAUAUUUCUGGUACUCUCCCUGAUAGUCGUGAGUUUGACCGCAUUGAUAAUCCACAGUUUGAGGGAUAUAAAUUUGAUCCCCAUGGAGAGUAUGUUCGAAGAUGGCUUCCUGAACUUGCUAGGCUACCUACUGAUUGGAUACACCAUCCUUGGGACGCACCAGAAUCAGUCCUCCAAGCUGCUGGUGUUGAACUAGGUUCCAAUUAUCCUCUUCCAAUUGUUGAAAUAGAUGCAGCAAAGGUCAGGUUGCAAGAGGCGCUUUCACAGAUGUGGCAGAAUGCAGCAGUGUCAAGAGCUGCACUUGAAAAUGGAACAGAAGAAGGACUUGGGGACUCCUCUGAAUCAGGCCCCUUUGCCUUUCCUCAGGACAUGCAAGUGGAGAUGGAUCAGGAACCUGCUAGAAAUAAUAAUGCUGCAACCACAACCAUCCGACGUUAUGAAGAUCAGAUGGUCCCAAGCAUGACUUCAUCAUUGGUGAGAACGGAAUAUGAUGAAACUUCAUUUUAUAUGAGAAAUUUUGUAGAAAAUAGAGCAGAAGUGCCAAGAACUGUUAAUGUAACUGAAGAACCUGCAAGAGAAGUAACUACCCGCCCUCCCAGGCAUACAGUUCAGAGUAACAACAUUAUGCCUGUAUAUAAUUUUACAAUAGGACGAAGAAACUCUGAGGACUCAACAGCAGAAUCUUCCAGCAGUGGUAGACGAGAAAGGGAUGGAGGCAUAGUUCCAGUUUGGUCUCCCUCAAGUUCAAAUUUUUCGGAUCCAUUUGCUGCAGAAGACAAUGGCAUAGGAACUAGUGCUUCAUACUUGCAGAGGCAUCCGCAGUCUCAUCAGCUAAUGAACUGGAGGGGGCUCCCUCAAACUGGAGCCUAGUGAUCAUGCAUAGUGUUGCUGCUGCUCAAUUUAUCUACCAAGUCACUGAAAUGGCUAUUUCUGAGGAAAGAGGUGAGCCCGUACAAAUCACUAGCUAUUAGGCAAAAGCUGGACGAUCUAAAAUGAUGGUUACAAUUGGCCUCUGACUGCUAAAUUAGCUCCUGAUGCCUGGCGUUCACAUCCUUCCUCUCUGACCCAAUCAGCUGUGGAACUGUGUCCAAAAUUUAUGAAAUCAGAUUGGGGGGUCUGUCUGUAUUCUCUCCUCGCCCCAUCGGUGUUGCAGAUGUGGCUCAGCUGUAUAGUGUAUAAUGUAUUCUAAGCACAGAUGAGUGUUUUAGAAUAGGGAUAUGCUGUAGUGAUAUAAUCUAAAUAGGAUCGAGGUUUUGGUUUUCUGAGUGUAGGCUGAUUAUAGCUGAUGUUAUAAUCACCAAUAAAGCGAUCUCCUUUUUCUUCCCCCGAAGUCCCUUAUUACUGUAUCAGAAAAAUACUGUAGGAUUGUGCGCUAGCUAUGCUUUGUCUGAGGGUGUGCAUGGUAUAUUUUUGACAGUCCGUGGCUCAGUGGGAUGUUGAACAUUAACUCUCCCUGCCUUAUAAAUGAAAUGAAAGUUUUUCAGUUUGGAAA
RNA transcript from Coffea eugenioides, 3023 nucleotides. It is a transcript of the gene named cryptochrome-1, with no coding region annotated. The transcript has 6 exons. NCBI's taxonomy places the organism in Eukaryota, Viridiplantae, Streptophyta, Magnoliopsida, Gentianales, Rubiaceae. The record is from RefSeq and is a predicted model, not a curated record.